This 119-nucleotide ribosomal RNA is filed under the name Helianthus annuus (common sunflower). The record is from RNAcentral. Lineage: Eukaryota; Viridiplantae; Streptophyta; Magnoliopsida; Asterales; Asteraceae.
GGUUGCGAUCAUACCAGCACUAAUGCACCGGAUCCCAUCAGAACUCCGCAGUUAAGCGUGCUUGGGCGAGAGUAGUACUAGGAUGUGUGACCCCCUGGGAAGUCCUCGUGUUGCAACAC